GAUGAACGCUGGCGGCGUGCCUAAUACAUGCAAGUCGAGCGAACAGACGAGGAGCUUGCUCCUCUGACGUUAGCGGCGGACGGGUGAGUAACACGUGGAUAACCUACCUAUAAGACUGGGAUAACUUCGGGAAACCGGAGCUAAUACCGGAUAAUAUAUUGAACCGCAUGGUUCAAUAGUGAAAUACGGUUUUGCUGUCACUUAUAGAUGGAUCCGCGCCGCAUUAGCUAGUUGGUAAGGUAACGGCUUACCAAGGCGACGAUGCGUAGCCGACCUGAGAGGGUGAUCAGCCACACUGGAACUGAGACACGGUCCAGACUCCUACGGGAGGCAGCAGUAGGGAAUCUUCCGCAAUGGGCGAAAGCCUGACGGAGCAACGCCGCGUGAGUGAUGAAGGUCUUCGGAUCGUAAAACUCUGUUAUUAGGGAAGAACAAAUGUGUAAGAAACUAUGCACGUCUUGACGGUACCUAAUCAGAAAGCAACGGCUAACUACGUG
This 497-nucleotide ribosomal RNA is filed under the name uncultured bacterium. Its description in RNAcentral is "partial 16S ribosomal RNA". It matches the Rfam family "Bacterial small subunit ribosomal RNA", at positions 28 to 507 of the family's 1533-position model. The record is from RNAcentral.